GAUGAAGAACGUAGCGAAAUGCGAUAAGUAAUGUGAAUUGCAGGAUUCAGUGAAUCAUCGAAUCUUUGAGCGCACAUUGCGCCCGUCAGUAUUCUGGCGGGCAUGCCUGUUCGAGCGUCAUUACGCCCCUCAAGUCCCCUGUGGACUUGGUGUUGGGGAUCGGCGAGGCUGGUUUUCCAGCACAGCCGUCCCUUAAAUUAAUUGGCGGUCUCGCCGUGGCCCUCCUCUGCGCAGUAGUAAAACACUCGCAACAGGAGCCCGGCGCGGUCCACUGCCGUAAAACCCCCCAACUUUUUAUAGUUGACCUCGAAUCAGGUAGGACUACCCGCUGAACUUAAGCAUAUCAAUAAGCGGAGGA
This 358-nucleotide unclassified non-coding RNA is filed under the name soil metagenome. Its description in RNAcentral is "partial contains 5.8S ribosomal RNA, internal transcribed spacer 2, and large subunit ribosomal RNA". The stretch from base 1 to 120 matches the Rfam family "5.8S ribosomal RNA", at positions 35 to 154 of the family's 154-position model. The record is from RNAcentral.